This is a long non-coding RNA of Medicago truncatula (barrel medic), 651 nucleotides long. RefSeq lists it as uncharacterized. NCBI's taxonomy places the organism in Eukaryota, Viridiplantae, Streptophyta, Magnoliopsida, Fabales, Fabaceae. The record is from RefSeq and is a predicted model, not a curated record. The transcript has 2 exons.
AGGCGAAUACUAAAUUAGGGCUAUAUAUUAGUAUUGUAUUCUAACUAUUUUCUCAUAAAUGGCAAAUUUGCAGAGAAUCUUUCCUCUGACGAUAUUCAAAGGUCUUGUUUUUUUACUAUUGAUCACUAACAAUGCAAAAACAAUUGCAGCUCGCUAUGUUUCCUUCACAACCCCUCAAACAAAUGACCAUCCUCCUCAAAAACCAACAUGCAUGAAACGUGAAUGCAACAGGGACAUGCAGAAUAAUCUAAGUCCAUCUCUUCCUCAUAGUUUUCACCAAAAAGCUAGUUUGAGUCCAACAGGUUUAAAUUCAAUACAACGUUAUUCCUUACAACCUAAUAAUAAUAUUGUUGAUCGUGUUUUCAGAGAAAGUUUGGAAGGUCUAUAUACAAGAAACCGUAGCACCUUGCAACGUGGUUAUACCGCAAAAAGACUGGUCCCAACAGGUCCUAAUCGAAUGCAUAACCGUUAAAUAUAAUUGUCCAUCUUCCUCAUGAGCAGCUGCAAAGAAAAUGGAGGAAUUGACUUGUGGAAGGUAUUUGCCAAGUAUGAUAGUGUGGGGGAAGUGUGUAAAGAGUAAUCAAAUAAAUGUUUUUUCUUGUAAAAUAACACUAGCUCUAAAUUUUACUACACAAUUUUUAGCAUGUUGCA